UGUGACCUCUGAACCUAAGUGUGGCUG
Molecule: non-coding RNA, 27 nt
Filed under: Rattus norvegicus (Norway rat)
Lineage: Eukaryota; Metazoa; Chordata; Mammalia; Rodentia; Muridae
Source: RNAcentral